GCCAGAUUAUUUUUAACAUUGCAUAUGCCUAACAUUAUGUGAUAAUACUAAUCACACUCAUAUUGCCUUUCUCUUUCAGUUUAUGAAGAAAUGGCGCCCAGGAAGGUAGGACGGAAGCGUAAGGCCCUGCAGGUGGCCAAAGGUGGGCCAUCUGCAAAGUUAUCAAUUUUCCACCAGUCACCACUGUGCUACGAGCUGUGCACAACCCCAUCUAGCCCUGCUGCCCCAUCCGGCCCUGCUGCUCCACCAAGCCCUGCUGCCCCAUCCCAGCCGGCAUUUCAGAAUGUCCACAGCCUGUUGAGGACAUGCUCGGGGCAUCGAAGCAAAAGAUACCAGAUAACGGUGGAGGAGAUCAGGAGGAGGACUGCUCCACCUGAGAGCAUGUCCAUAAACACCCUCACUGCGCUCCUGAGAACUAACAAAAAUUUGAAGAGGGACCUCAGGCAGCAGCUGCAGGAGGUCGGGGUGACUCCGGGCACAGUGACCAAAGUGGACACUGGCAAACACUGUACA
Molecule: long non-coding RNA, 513 nt
Organism: Clupea harengus (Atlantic herring)
Lineage: Eukaryota; Metazoa; Chordata; Actinopteri; Clupeiformes; Clupeidae
Source: Ensembl